Long non-coding RNA from Pan troglodytes (chimpanzee), 499 nucleotides. RefSeq lists it as uncharacterized. Lineage: Eukaryota; Metazoa; Chordata; Mammalia; Primates; Hominidae. The record is from RefSeq and is a predicted model, not a curated record. The transcript is spliced from 2 exons.
ACAAAAAAACAUUCCCAGGGGAUUCCAAUGUCCAGUGGGCAUUAGAAAGUUGUUGUUGUUGUUGUUGUUAUUUGUUUAUUAUCACGUUAGCCAUUAUUUAUUAUUAUGUCACAUAUGUGAGACCACAAGGGCUGCUCCCCGCAUACCGGUGGCCCCACCAGUUAGCUGCCUUGGGGAGGGGAGGAAGACCACCAGAGCCCAGGACGAUCUGCUGUGCAGAUCAUGAACCGUCGCCGCAGUGCCAGACAGACUCUUCAUCCGGACCGGCCGUCCCACUGGGUCCCCUCAGGAAAGCGCAGAAGCCGGGGACCCCAAACCGCGUCCGGCUCCUCCCACCCGCCCUUCUCGGAGCCGCGCACUUGGUAACUUGCGUGUGAAGAACUCACGGCCGUGUUGCCAGGAAACUGCGGGGAGCAGCCUUUGUGGUCUCACAUAUGCGUAACAUAAUAAUAAAUAACGGUUAACAUGAUAAUAAAUAAACAAAUAACAAUAAUUAUAA